RNAcentral lists this ribosomal RNA (253 nucleotides) under uncultured bacterium. RNAcentral describes it as "partial 16S ribosomal RNA". It matches the Rfam family "Bacterial small subunit ribosomal RNA", at positions 524 to 776 of the family's 1533-position model. The record is from RNAcentral.
GACAGAGGUGCCGAGCGUUAGGCGGAAUCACUGGGCUUAAAGCGUGUGUAGGCGGAUUUGUAAGUACCUUGUGAAAUCCCACGGCUCUACCGUGGACGUGCAUCCAAAACUGCGUCGCUAGAGUCUCGGAGAGGAAGGUGGAAUGCUUGGUGUAGAGGUGAAAUUCGUAGAUAUCAAGCAGAACACCUGCGGCGAAGGCGGCCUUCUGGACGAUGACUGACGCUGAGACACGAAAGCGUGGGGAGCAAACAGG